This is a long non-coding RNA of Melospiza melodia melodia, 510 nucleotides long. RefSeq lists it as uncharacterized. Lineage: Eukaryota; Metazoa; Chordata; Aves; Passeriformes; Passerellidae. The record is from RefSeq and is a predicted model, not a curated record. The transcript is spliced from 3 exons.
UAGUCGGAACUGUGCCUGCCGUCGGGCGGUGCAGCAGAACCGGUACAUACUGGGCACGGGUGGGGUCUCAGAUUGGAGAAACCGGCCCUGCUUCCAGCACAUUACCCACUAGCUGGCUGCUUGGGAUCCCGAGCUGCACGGACGCCCGAGGGUCACGCCACCGGGAAAAGGAACAGGAGAGGAAGGCUUCUCCGCUGAGCAAGGUCGGAGCCUGGCAUGGCCCGGCACCGGCCGUACCGGCACCGGCUGCUGGGGGCCGCCCGCUCCGCCCCGGCGCUCACCUGUAGGCGCUGAGGAGCGCCUUGUUGACCAGCACGUUCAAGCGAGAGGAAAAGAGACUUCCCUUCUCAUCUGAAUUUCCUGACUUCUAACGAGAGGAAGAAGUUAAAGCAAGCAGAGACUGCUCCUUCUAUCUACUGUCGCAGGGGUGCCACAGCUAAGUUUGCCAGCUCAAUGAGUGCCAGCGCGCCAUGCAUGCGUUCACGCUGCUCCUGGAGGCGACGGUGGCGG